UCCCGGCUAGCUCAGUUGGUAGAGCGUUUGACUUUUAAACCUAAAGUUCAUCGAAAGGUCGGGGGUUCGAGCCCCCCGCUGGGAA
Sphaeroforma arctica JP610 is the source of this 85-nucleotide non-coding RNA. NCBI's taxonomy places the organism in Eukaryota, Ichthyosporea, Ichthyophonida. The record is from Rfam.